Oryzias melastigma (Indian medaka) is the source of this 467-nucleotide long non-coding RNA. RefSeq lists it as uncharacterized. The transcript is spliced from 2 exons. NCBI's taxonomy places the organism in Eukaryota, Metazoa, Chordata, Actinopteri, Beloniformes, Adrianichthyidae. The record is from RefSeq and is a predicted model, not a curated record.
AGAACCACAUAAGCGGCCGAAUAAUCCGGAUCCGUGUGCUGCAGAGCGGACAGAGAAGAGGAAAUGGCCUCGAGAUUCCCCACAAACGCGGCGGAAGAACUUCACCUCCUCGUGGAUUAACCGUCAGGUUAUUAGCAGAGGGCAGUCUCACUCUUCAGCUUGGAUGGAGUCGGCGGGGGCAACAUAAUUGCUGGGGAUGUAGCCUUUCUUUCCCGUGGUGAUGGAGCGAGCCUCCCACCAGUCUCCUUCUCUGCAGGAGGAUAAUGACACAAGAGAGGUGAGACAAAUGUAACUGUCGACUGCUGCUGCUGCUGCUGCUGCUCUGGAGAUGGAUCUAAAGCGUUGUAAAAAAAAAAGUAAAUAAAUAAAAAUCUGGUCAUUCUUAUUUAAAAUCAUGCAUAUUUCACAGUUUAUAAAAAGGGUUUUGCAGCUGCACGUUUCAUCUGCAAGAUCUGCAAAAAAAAAAA